Phyllostomus hastatus (greater spear-nosed bat) is the source of this 363-nucleotide long non-coding RNA. RefSeq lists it as uncharacterized. The transcript is spliced from 2 exons. The record is from RefSeq and is a predicted model, not a curated record. NCBI's taxonomy places the organism in Eukaryota, Metazoa, Chordata, Mammalia, Chiroptera, Phyllostomidae.
GUAGCGUGAUUAGGGGAGGGUGUGCAGAGUGCAAGGCCGAGGGCGAGGAAGGAUUCCACGCCCCAACCUUCCCUUCCCGGAGCCGAGAGGAGGGUCCUAGAGGCCGCAGUUGGCGUGAGGCCAGGGUGGGGCCAGCGCACAGUUUGGGUGAAAAGAAGAUCCUCAAAGUGAAACGUUUUGACAGUGUGGAAGAAGUAAAAUAAAAAAUGGCAGAAGCAAUAAAAGACAACAAAAUCAAUGAGUUCAAAAACUGUUUUGAACAGUGAAAAAGAUAUCUCAGUAAAUGUAUUGCAUCAGAUAGAGAGUAUUUUGAAGGUGACUGAAAUUUAAACAUAUAAGAAUAAAUGCAAAAUUUUUAGUAAA